Small nuclear RNA from Engraulis encrasicolus (European anchovy), 164 nucleotides. RefSeq annotates it as U1 spliceosomal RNA. NCBI's taxonomy places the organism in Eukaryota, Metazoa, Chordata, Actinopteri, Clupeiformes, Engraulidae. The transcript has a single exon. The record is from RefSeq and is a predicted model, not a curated record.
AUACUUACCUGGCAGGGGAGACACCAUGAUCAAGAAGGUGGUUCACCAUUGGCGAGGCUUAGCCAUUGCACUUCGGCUAGGUUGACCUAAUUGAAUUCCCCAAAUGUGGGAAUCUCAACUGCAUAAUUUGUGGUAGUGGGGGACUGCGUCCGCGCUCUCCACUA